This 497-nucleotide ribosomal RNA is filed under the name uncultured bacterium. Its description in RNAcentral is "partial 16S ribosomal RNA". It matches the Rfam family "Bacterial small subunit ribosomal RNA", at positions 28 to 507 of the family's 1533-position model. The record is from RNAcentral.
GAUGAACGCUGGCGGCGUGCCUAAUACAUGCAAGUCGAGCGAACAGACGAGGAGCUUGCUCCUCUGACGUUAGCGGCGGACGGGUGAGUAACACGUGGAUAACCUACCUAUAAGACUGGGAUAACUUCGGGAAACCGGAGCUAAUACCGGAUAAUAUAUUGAACCGCAUGGUUCAAUAGUGAAAGACGGUUUUGCUGUCACUUAUAGAUGGAUCCGCGCCGCAUUAGCUAGUUGGUAAGGUAACGGCUUACCAAGGCGACGAUGCGUAGCCGACCCGAGAGGGUGAUCGGCCACACUGGAACUGAGACGCGGUCCAGACUCCUACGGGAGGCAGCAGUAGGGAAUCUUCCGCAAUGGGCGAAAGCCUGACGGAGCAACGCCGCGUGAGUGAUGAAGGUCUUCGGAUCGUAAAACUCUGUUAUUAGGGAAGAACAAAUGUGUAAGUAACUAUGCACGUCUUGACGGUACCUAAUCAGAAAGCCACGGCUAACUACGUG